RNAcentral lists this ribosomal RNA (1072 nucleotides) under Polyphilus sieberi. Its description in RNAcentral is "SSU rRNA". It matches the Rfam family "Eukaryotic small subunit ribosomal RNA", at positions 40 to 1120 of the family's 1831-position model. Lineage: Eukaryota; Fungi; Ascomycota; Leotiomycetes; Helotiales. The record is from RNAcentral.
AAGAUUAAGCCAUGCAUGUCUAAGUAUAAGCAAUCUAUACGGUGAAACUGCGAAUGGCUCAUUAAAUCAGUUAUCGUUUAUUUGAUAGUACCUUACUACUUGGAUAACCGUGGUAAUUCUAGAGCUAAUACAUGCUAAAAACCCCGACUUCGGAAGGGGUGUAUUUAUUAGAUAAAAAACCAAUGCCCUUCGGGGCUCCUUGGUGAUUCAUAAUAACUUAACGAAUCGCAUGGCCUUGUGCCGGCGAUGGUUCAUUCAAAUUUCUGCCCUAUCAACUUUCGAUGGUAGGAUAGUGGCCUACCAUGGUUUCAACGGGUAACGGGGAAUUAGGGUUCUAUUCCGGAGAGGGAGCCUGAGAAACGGCUACCACAUCCAAGGAAGGCAGCAGGCGCGCAAAUUACCCAAUCCCGACACGGGGAGGUAGUGACAAUAAAUACUGAUACAGGGCUCUUUUGGGUCUUGUAAUUGGAAUGAGUACAAUUUAAAUCCCUUAACGAGGAACAAUUGGAGGGCAAGUCUGGUGCCAGCAGCCGCGGUAAUUCCAGCUCCAAUAGCGUAUAUUAAAGUUGUUGCAGUUAAAAAGCUCGUAGUUGAACCUUGGGCCUGGCUGGCCGGUCCGCCUCACCGCGUGCACUGGUCCGGCCGGGUCUUUCCUUCUGGGGAGCCGCAUGCCCUUCACUGGGUGUGUCGGGGAACCAGGACUUUUACUUUGAAAAAAUUAGAGUGUUCAAAGCAGGCCUAUGCUCGAAUACAUUAGCAUGGAAUAAUAGAAUAGGACGUGUGGUUCUAUUUUGUUGGUUUCUAGGACCGCCGUAAUGAUUAAUAGGGAUAGUCGGGGGCAUCAGUAUUCAAUUGUCAGAGGUGAAAUUCUUGGAUUUAUUGAAGACUAACUACUGCGAAAGCAUUUGCCAAGGAUGUUUUCAUUAAUCAGUGAACGAAAGUUAGGGGAUCGAAGACGAUCAGAUACCGUCGUAGUCUUAACCAUAAACUAUGCCGACUAGGGAUCGGGCGAUGUUAUCUUUUUGACUCGCUCGGCACCUUACGAGAAAUCAAAGUCUUUGGGUUCUGGGGG